This 430-nucleotide ribosomal RNA is filed under the name uncultured bacterium. RNAcentral describes it as "bacterial SSU rRNA". It matches the Rfam family "Bacterial small subunit ribosomal RNA", at positions 354 to 796 of the family's 1533-position model. The record is from RNAcentral.
GUGGGGAAUAUUGCACAAUGGGCGCAAGCCUGAUGCAGCAACGCCGCGUGAGGGAUGACGGCCUUCGGGUUGUAAACCUCUUUUAGUAGGGAAGAAGCGAAAGUGACGGUACCUGCAGAAAAAGCACCGGCUAACUACGUGCCAGCAGCCGCGGUAAUACGUAGGGUGCAAGCGUUGUCCGGAAUUAUUGGGCGUAAAGAGCUCGUAGGCGGCUUGUCGCGUCUGCUGUGAAAUCCCGGGGCUCAACCCCGGGCCUGCAGUGGGUACGGGCAGGCUAGAGUGCGGUAGGGGAGAUUGGAAUUCCUGGUGUAGCGGUGGAAUGCGCAGAUAUCAGGAGGAACACCGAUGGCGAAGGCAGAUCUCUGGGCCGUAACUGACGCUGAGGAGCGAAAGCGUGGGGAGCGAACAGGAUUAGAUACCCGGGUAGUCC